RNAcentral lists this ribosomal RNA (497 nucleotides) under uncultured bacterium. Its description in RNAcentral is "partial 16S ribosomal RNA". It matches the Rfam family "Bacterial small subunit ribosomal RNA", at positions 28 to 507 of the family's 1533-position model. The record is from RNAcentral.
GAUGAACGCUGGCGGCGUGCCUAAUACAUGCAAGUCGAGCGAACAGACGAGGAGCUUGCUCCUCUGACGUUAGCGGCGGACGGGUGAGUAACACGUGGAUAACCUACCUAUAUGACUGGGAUAACUUCGGGAAACCGGAGCUAAUACCGGAUAACAUGUUGAACCGCAUGGUUCAACAGUGAAAGACGGUCUUGCUGUCGCUUAUAGAUGGAUCCGCGCCGCAUUAGCUAGUUGGUAAGGUAACGGCUUACCAAGGCAACGAUGCGUAGCCGACCUGAGAGGGUGAUCGGCCACACUGGAACUGAGACACGGUCCAGACUCCUACGGGAGGCAGCAGUAGGGAAUCUUCCGCAAUGGGCGAAAGCCUGACGGAGCAACGCCGCGUGAGUGAAGAAGGUCUUCGGAUCGUAAAACUCUGUUAUUAGGGAAGAACAAAUGUGUAAGUAACUAUGCACGUCUUGACGGUACCUAAUCAGAAAGCCACGGCUAACUACGUG